Molecule: ribosomal RNA, 497 nt
Filed under: uncultured bacterium
Lineage: Bacteria
Description: partial 16S ribosomal RNA
Rfam family: Bacterial small subunit ribosomal RNA
Source: RNAcentral
GAUGAACGCUGGCGGCGUGCCUAAUACAUGCAAGUCGAGCGAACAGACGAGGAGCUUGCUCCUCUGACGUUAGCGGCGGACGGGUGAGUAACACGUGGAUAACCCACCUAUAAGACUGGGAUAACUUCGGGAAACCGGAGCUAAUACCGGAUAAUAUAUUGAACCGCAUGGUUCAAUAGUGAAAGACGGUUUUGUUGUCACUUAUAGAUGGAUCCGCGCCGUAUUAGCUAGUUGGUAAGGUAACGGCUUACCAAGGCAACGAUGCGUAGCCGACCUGAGAGGGUGGUCGGCCACACUGGAACUGAGACACGGUCCAGACUCCUACGGGAGGGAGCAGUAGGGAAUCUGCCGCAAUGGGCGAAAGCCUGACGGAGCAACGCCGCGUGAGUGAUGAAGGUCUUCGGAUCGUAAAACUCUGUUAUGAGGGAAGAACAAAUGUGUAAGUAACUAUGCACGUCUUGACGGUACCUAAUCAAAAAGCCACGGCUAACUACGUG